CCUANGGGGGGCAGCAGUAGGGAAUAUUGGGCAAUGGGCGAAAGCCUGACCCAGCAACGCCGCGUGCACGAUGAAGGUCUUCGGAUCGUAAAGUGCUUUUCUGGGAGAUGAGAAAGGACAGUAUCCCAGGAAUAAGCCUCGGCUAACUACGUGCCAGCAGCCGCGGUAAAACGUAGGAGGCAAGCGUUAUCCGGAUUUACUGGGCGUAAAGCGCGUGUAGGCGGUUUGGUAAGUUGGAUGUGAAAUCUCCCGGCUCAACUGGGAGGGGUCGUUCAAAACUACCAGACUUGAGGGCAGUAGAGGAAGGUGGAAUUCCCGGUGUAGUGGUGAAAUGCGUAGAUAUCGGGAGGAACACCAGUGGCGAAAGCGGCCUUCUGGACUGCAUCUGACGCUCAGACGCGAAAGCUAGGGGAGCAAACGGGAUUAGAUACCCCUNUANUC
RNAcentral lists this ribosomal RNA (441 nucleotides) under uncultured bacterium. RNAcentral's name for it is "bacterial SSU rRNA". It matches the Rfam family "Bacterial small subunit ribosomal RNA", at positions 338 to 795 of the family's 1533-position model. The record is from RNAcentral.